Molecule: ribosomal RNA, 422 nt
Filed under: Bosmina sp. ZMUC CRU 4170
Lineage: Eukaryota; Metazoa; Arthropoda; Branchiopoda; Diplostraca; Bosminidae
Description: partial 16S ribosomal RNA
Rfam family: Bacterial large subunit ribosomal RNA
Source: RNAcentral
CUGCUCAAUGCUUUUAGUAAAUGCCCGCAGUAUUUUGACUGUGCUAAGGUAGCAUAAUCAUUAGUCUUUUAAUUGGAGGCUGGUAUGAAUGGUAAGACGAGAAAGAAACUGUCUCCUAGUAAGUAACGAAAUUCAUUUUUUAGUGAAAAAGCUAAAAUAAUUCUAAGGGACGAUCAGACCCUAUGGAGCUUUUUUGUUGGGGCGACAGAGAGAAAAAAGUAACCCUCUUUUUAACUAACACUUUUCAGUGAAUUAUUGAUCCCCCGGGUGGGAUUAAAAGAAUAAGUUACCCUAGGGAUAACAGCGUAAUUUUUUUGGAGAGUUCAGAUCGAUAAAAAAGUUUGCGACCUCGAUGUUGGAUUAGGAAUUUAGUUAGGUGCAGAUGUUUAACUGUAGAGUCUGUUCGACUUUUGAAUCCUACG